This 501-nucleotide long non-coding RNA is filed under the name Gallus gallus (chicken). Its description in RNAcentral is "long non-coding RNA NONGGAT004786". The record is from RNAcentral. Lineage: Eukaryota; Metazoa; Chordata; Aves; Galliformes; Phasianidae.
GGAAGAGACUGAUUGUUAUGAAGAAGAAAAGGAGGAACCAAUUCAUACAGCUUUAUCUGAGAGUGCGAGACAGGAGUGACCCACUGCUUGUUCCGAUCCUCCUUCAGAUAUCUGAUUGAUGUAACAGCAGGUGACAGUAUGGAAACGUAUUUUCUUUUCUCUCUCCACGCUGUAUUGUACUGUGCUACGUGGUUGCUAUGCUGCUAUGUUUGGGAAACAGGAUACAGGUGAGAUUCCACAAGCUGCUAAACCGAAGUGCUGUGUGACAAACCUUCCAACCAGAGAGAGAGUAUCUGAUAAACGGAGGGACGCCUGGAGGGUUAUUCGGGAAACUGCUGUGAUGUUCAUGUGUUUAUUUCUACACAAAUAUUUCUGAAAAUAGGCUUGCCAUAAGAAGUGAUUUGAUAACACAUUGUCUUUUUUAUACAAAACGUGUUAAAUGAUGUAUGAAGAUGGAUGUAUUUAGAAAUUUUCAGUGCAAGAAAAUACUUGCAGGCCAAU